Long non-coding RNA from Cimex lectularius (bed bug), 577 nucleotides. RefSeq lists it as uncharacterized. The record is from RefSeq and is a predicted model, not a curated record. Lineage: Eukaryota; Metazoa; Arthropoda; Insecta; Hemiptera; Cimicidae. The transcript has 3 exons.
AAUUAUUUCCCGAGAACAGCCGUUUCCAACUCUUCUAGUUUUUUGGGAUCUGCAUGUCAUCGCUUAAUUUGGUCCCAAAUGUGUUCGGUUGGGUUCAAAUCUGGACUUAGAGGAGGUCACAUCAAGCAAUCAAUUCCAGCCUAAUUCAGGCAGUCAUCCACAAUACAUGGCACUACAUGUUCUUCGAUUAUGUCUCUUGCAGCUAACGGGCUUAAUUUUAAACUAAAUAAAUUGACUGGUGCGUUAAAUUUGUCCAUCGGACUAUUUUGGUUGAAUAUGGAAGAAGUAAAACAAUUUUUGAUAGACAGGACAACUAGCUACGUUCAACUACCAGUUUUGAGCAUCGUGGACGAGAGGGGUGUUAAUACAAAUCCUGACGCUGGAUAGUGAUGUAUAUAACGUACAUGAUACAUGUUGAGGAGCACAAGUCAUGUUUUAAACGUGUCAAAUAAUGAGCAAAGAAGAUUUGAAAGACAGAAAAAGGUUUACGAAUAAGAAUUAUAUAAUUAUAUUAAAUGAAAUCAACGAAGGGAAAAAAUUAACAGAAAGCGAUCUUUGGGCGUACCAGAAUGGAAGG